GUGAGAGAGCCAAGUGGGGCAAAGCUCGUCUACAGGAGGGCAGCUUGCCACACCUCAUGAAUCCACAGCUUUUAGGCCCCCUUGGGUACCUACAGGCAGAGAGGAUCAGGACCAUCUGGGGCAAUAAAGCUGGACUUUCACUGUGUGUCUGCUUGUGUGUGUGCCUGCCCGUGUGCAUGUGUACACUUGUGUGUCUGUUUCUGUGCAUGUACAUCUGUGUGUGUGGGGGAGGCUGUGUCUAUGUGCAUGUGUGCACACGAUGCAGGAGGGUGAGCAUCAAUACAGGAAAGGGAAGCAGGGAAGCUCUGGAUUGGGGUUUGGUCAAAAGUCAAAACUCUGGAGAGAUUCUGACAGGAACUUCAC
RNAcentral lists this long non-coding RNA (363 nucleotides) under Rattus norvegicus (Norway rat). RNAcentral's name for it is "long non-coding RNA NONRATT003450". The record is from RNAcentral. Lineage: Eukaryota; Metazoa; Chordata; Mammalia; Rodentia; Muridae.